GAGGUACCGGGGCCGUAACGGCCUCGACCUAUUCUCGAACUCCGAACGGGGCAAGGAGCCGGGGGUCGCCCGAUCGGACCCCGGACGUGAAGUCGACUAUGGUCGGUGGGCUGGUUUUGGUAAGCAGAACGGGCGAUUCGGGAUGAACCGGAAGCGGGGAGAAAGGGCCCGAGAUUGCGUCGACGCGGAUCCCGAAAAGGGCGUCGAUCCGUCGCGACAGCGGGACGGUGGUCAUGGAAGUCGAAAUCCGCUAAGAAGCGUGUAAAAACGUACCCGCCCAACGGAUCGGCCCCGAAAAUUGAUGGCGCUCGAACGCAACCCUCGAACCCCGCCGACGGAGGCUAGGGGAGGCCCCGUCGAGUAGGCGGACGCGCGGGUCGCUUCGACGCUCCCGCGCGAGCGGGGGCGGAGCGGCCCGUGGUGCAGAUCUUGGUGGUAGUAGCGAUCACCCAGGCGAGAACCCUGAGGGCCGAAGUGGAGAAGGGGUUUCUCGAGAACGGCACUCGCUCGAGAGUUAGUCGAUCCUAAGCUGCCGGCGGCAGCCACGAAACGGUCGAUCGGGCGCGAGCCCGGCA
This 575-nucleotide ribosomal RNA is filed under the name uncultured eukaryote. Its description in RNAcentral is "eukaryotic LSU rRNA". It matches the Rfam family "Eukaryotic large subunit ribosomal RNA", at positions 1024 to 1596 of the family's 3401-position model. The record is from RNAcentral.